AAGUCGUAACAAGGUUUCCGUAGGUGAACCUGCGGAAGGAUCAUUACCUUUCUGCUAUUAUAUGACUUGUCUUGGGGGCUGGGCAGUUUCUUGCAGUCUCUGACUACAUCCGUGUUUUUUGCGUACUACGUGUUUCCUCGGCGGGCUUGCUUGCCGGUUGGACAAACUAAAACUCUUUGCAAUUGCAAUCAGCGUCUGAAUUAUAUAAUAAUUACAA
Molecule: unclassified non-coding RNA, 217 nt
Filed under: plant metagenome
Description: partial contains small subunit ribosomal RNA and internal transcribed spacer 1
Rfam family: Eukaryotic small subunit ribosomal RNA (bases 1-46)
Source: RNAcentral